GACGAACGCUGGCGGCGUGCUUAACACAUGCAAGUCGAACGGUAAAGCCCCAGCUUGCUGGGGUGGAUCAGUGGCGAACGGGUGAGUAACACGUGAGCAACCUGCCCCUGACUCUGGGAUAACCUCUGGAAACGGCGUCUAAUACUGGAUACGAGCAGCGUCCGCAUGGGCGGUUUUUGGAAGUUUUGUCGGUUGGGGAUGGGCUCGCGGCCUAUCAGCUUGUUGGUGGGGUAGUGGCUCACCAAGGCGACGACGGGUAGCCGGCCUGAGAGGGCGACCGGCCACACUGGGACUGAGACACGGCCCAGACUCCUACGGGAGGCAGCAGUGGGGAAUAUUGCACAAUGGGCGGAAGCCUGAUGCAGCGACGCCGCGUGAGGGAUGACGGCCUUCGGGUUGUAAACCGCUUUCAGCAGGGAAGAAGCGAGAGUGACGGUACCGGCAGAAGAAGCACCGGCUAACUACGUG
RNAcentral lists this ribosomal RNA (468 nucleotides) under uncultured bacterium. Its description in RNAcentral is "partial 16S ribosomal RNA". It matches the Rfam family "Bacterial small subunit ribosomal RNA", at positions 28 to 507 of the family's 1533-position model. The record is from RNAcentral.